Molecule: RNA transcript, 2344 nt
Organism: Myxocyprinus asiaticus (Chinese sucker)
Lineage: Eukaryota; Metazoa; Chordata; Actinopteri; Cypriniformes; Catostomidae
Gene: eif4e2
Gene name: eukaryotic translation initiation factor 4E family member 2
Exons: 7
Source: RefSeq, a predicted model, not a curated record
GGAGGUCACCAUGUUUUAGUUGCAUGGUUGUACUUUCACGUUGCUGCGGCAAGAUAAAUUGUAUUUGAAUGCAUGCGGUUAAUGCAUCAAGCAAAUAACCCGUCAGAAGCGCCAGAUCUGCAGGCGCAGGGCCUCCAGGCCGAGGACGGAUCACCGGAUUGAGCAUGUGUCUGAACGGCGGGUGCAGCCUGAAAGAUGAUGACAGCGGAGACCAUGACCAGGACAACAGCUCACCGAAUGACGGGGAGAAGGAAAGAAAUGACGAAGAUGACAAGGAUUCAAACACUGCCAAGAGAAAGGCAGUGGUCCCAGGGGCUGGUGAGCACCCUCUUCAGUACAACUACACGUUCUGGUAUUCUCGUCGCACACCGGGACGACCAGCCAGCACACAGAGCUACGAACAGAACAUCAAACAGAUUGGCAGCUUUGCUUCGGUGGAGCAGUUCUGGCGUUUUUAUAGUCACAUGAUCAGACCAGGUGAUCUGACUGGCCACAGCGAUUUCCACCUGUUUAAGGAAGGAAUCAAGCCCAUGUGGGAGGAUGAUGCUAAUAAGAGUGGAGGUAAGUGGAUCAUUCGGCUGCGUAAAGGCCUGGCAUCACGUUGCUGGGAAAAUCUGAUCUUGGCAAUGCUGGGGGAGCAGUUCAUGGUGGGCGAGGAGAUCUGUGGGGCCGUUGUGUCUGUUCGUUUCCAGGGAAUUCCAAAGGGUUCUUAUACAUCAUCUUGCUACUGUACAUUCAUCUUCUAAACUCUGUGGGAUGAUGCUCACGGAGAUGGUUUUUCGGGUUUGGAGUGUUCACUGCUUGAGAUAACACUUUAUUAGACACAGUUUAUAAACUGGGUAUCCAUCGUCAACAUUUUACCCAAAGUAUUCCUACAUUGUGGACUUCAACCGCACCAUACAAGAGCGGGAAAUAGAGUUUCAGGCUCCGGUGCUGCGCUCUCUGAAUGAAAGUCAGGUUUGUAAUGCUGUAAAUGUAGCCGAUUGUUUCUUAAUUGGACUUCUGUUUACAAUAGAAUGUUUGUUCCCUCGGGAGAUUUUUUUUGUUGCAAAAAACAACACCAAAGCGUUCAACUCUGGUUAUAUUAAGCAUGAGUAGCAUUCAUGGAACUAUUGGCUAAAGCAUUUCAUCCAGUAACUGUUUAGACAGACGCGUUUUCAUGCUAAAAAAUCCAAACGCACCACAACGAAUAGAGCCAAACCCAGGUGUCUCGAGACGCGUUUUUAUCAGUUGAAGAAGUUCUUUUUAAUGUCACACAGCAUCUAAAAAUGCAGCGCUCCCAUGAGAGAUGCUAAAAACACAGUGAAACGUGACGCAGUUGUCAAAAGACAUCUAUCUAGUGAAUGUUUAUAUGGAAAACAGCAGGAGCGGACGCAAAAACACAUUCAGUUUGAACAGCCCCUUGUUCACAUGCCACAGCACUAGCUGAAGUUUCUCAAAGUUACAUCUCAAAAAGACAGCCUUUUGUUUCAGUUGACUGUAGGUAAAUUUACACUGUAUCAGCGCUGUAUUCGUAAAUAUCCCAAUACUGUUUUACUGUGUGAGAAACCGCUCCAAAUGAUUCAGUGAGAGUGCGCUAUGAACGAAUUGUACUGAAUCACGAAUCGAUUCAGACAGUUUUGCAAGCCCGUUUGGCCAAUUCACUGAAAAGAACUGACUCAAAUAAUUAUUCGUUCACAAAUUGGGCAUUGCUAGUUCUUUUAAACAGCCAACAGAAAUACGGGAUACAUUUCAUGAUUGGUGAAAUAUUCUGAGAUUAAAUGUUUCUCAGGUCAAUCGGAGCGCUACAGCUGUAGGUGCCACUGACUGUUACAUCUCUUGUCUGCAUACAAACUUUCUCCUUUGCAUGAUAAAUACGUCAUCACUACAACACACACCAUUCACGGUAUCGGCUCUGCCUUCAUACAGACACAUUCCGGGAUUGAUCCCAGUAAUAUUACCAGGGUCUGAUCCCAGGAACACAUUUUCUGGCAUUCAGGCUCUGGCUUGUGUUCACACAGAAGGCUCCUCUGCAAUUAUCCCGGGAACAUCUCAGGAUCAGAGCCCAGUGUGAAUGAGGUUAUCGAGUCUCAGAGCCUGAAAUUAGUUUUAAGGCGUUAUCUAAAAAAAAUCAUUUUAUUUAUUUAGCUGUGGAUGUGCCAAUGAUAUUCCUUCUUUAUUUAAAAAAAUUAUCAAAUCUGUGCUUUUGUUUUAAGGAGGAUAUCAUUUCUAUCUGGAAUAAGACAGCCAGUGACCAGGCUACCACUGCACGCAUUAGAGAUACUUUACGCAGAGUCCUCAAUCUGCCUCCAAAUACCAUUAUGGAGUAUAAAACACACACCGACAGCAUCAAAGCUUGGGAGGA